RNAcentral lists this ribosomal RNA (266 nucleotides) under uncultured Glomus. Its description in RNAcentral is "partial small subunit ribosomal RNA". It matches the Rfam family "Eukaryotic small subunit ribosomal RNA", at positions 608 to 877 of the family's 1831-position model. Lineage: Eukaryota; Fungi; Glomeromycota; Glomeromycetes; Glomerales; Glomeraceae. The record is from RNAcentral.
UAGUUGUUGCAGUUAAAAAGCUCGUAGUUGAAUUUCGGGGUCAGCAGGUUGGUCGUGCCACUGGUAUGCACUGGUCUCGCUGAUUCCUCCCUCUUGUAGAACCGUAAUGCCAUUAAGUUGGUGUUGCGGUGAAACAGGACUGUUACUUUGAAAAAAUUAGAGUGUUUAAAGCAAGCUAACGCUUGAAUACAUUAGCAUGGAAUAAUGAAAUAGGACGAUCGAUCCUAUUUUGUUGGUUUCUAGGGUUGACGUAAUGAUUAAUAGGG